Molecule: ribosomal RNA, 405 nt
Filed under: uncultured bacterium
Lineage: Bacteria
Description: partial 16S ribosomal RNA
Rfam family: Bacterial small subunit ribosomal RNA
Source: RNAcentral
GAUGAACGCUGGCGGCGUGCCUAAUACAUGCAAGUCGAGCGAAGCGGGGACGGGUGAGUAAAACGUGGAAAACCUCCGAUAAGAAUGGGAUAAUUCCGGGAAAGCGGAGCAAAACCGGUUAAUGCAAGAUGGAUCCGCGCUGCAUUGGCUAGUGGGUAAGGUAACGGCUUACCAAGGCAACGAUGCAUAGGCGGCCGGAGAGGGUGAUCGGCCACACUGGAACUUAGACACGGUCCAGACUCCUACGGGAGGCAGCCGUAGGGAAUCUUCCGCAAUGGGCGAAAGCCUGACGGAGCAAUGCCGCGUGAGUGAUGAAGUUCUUCGGCUCGUAAAACUCUGUUAUUAGGGAAGCGUUACCUAAUCAGAAAGCCCCGGCUAACUCCGUGCCAGCCGCCGCGGUAAUUC